RNAcentral lists this ribosomal RNA (482 nucleotides) under uncultured bacterium. RNAcentral describes it as "partial 16S ribosomal RNA". It matches the Rfam family "Bacterial small subunit ribosomal RNA", at positions 30 to 507 of the family's 1533-position model. The record is from RNAcentral.
AUUGAACGCUGGCGGCAUGCCUUACACAUGCAGGUCGAACGGUAACAGGUCUUCGGAUGCUGACGAGUGGCGAACGGGUGAGUAAUACAUCGGAACGUGCCCGAUCGUGGGGGAUAACGAGGCGAAAGCUUUGCUAAUACCGCAUACGAUCUACGGAUGAAAGCGGGGGAUCUUCGGACCUCGCGCGGACGGAGCGGCCGAUGGCAGAUUAGGUAGUUGGUGGGAUAAAAGCUUACUAAGCCGACGAUCUGUAGCUGGUCUGAGAGGAUGAUCAGCCACACUGGGACUGAGACACGGCCCAGACUCCUACGGGAGGCAGCAGUGGGGAAUUUUGGACAAUGGGCGAAAGCCUGAUCCAGCCAUGCCGCGUGCAGGAUGAAGGCCUUGGGGUUGUAAACUGCUUUUGUACGGAACGAAAAGCCUCUUUCUAAUAAAGAGGGGUCAUGACGGUACCGUAAGAAUAAGCACCGGCUAACUACGUG